GAUCAUGGCUCAGGAUGAACGCUAGCUACAGGCUUAACACAUGCAAGUCGAGGGCAGCGAGAAGAAGCUGUCUUCUUGUCGGCGACCGGGCGCACGGGUGAGUAACGCGUAUCCAACCUUCCCUUUAGUAGAGGAUAGCCCGGCGAAAGUCGGAUUAAUACUCUAUGUUGUAUUUAGAGGACAUCUGAAGAAUACCAAAGGUUUACCGCUAAAGGAUGGGGAUGCGUCUGAUUAGGUUGUUGGCGGGGUAACGGCCCACCAAGCCUACGAUCAGUAGGGGUUCUGAGAGGAAGGUCCCCCACAUUGGAACUGAGACACGGUCCAAACUCCUACGGGAGGCAGCAGUGAGGAAUAUUGGUCAAUGGACGAAAGUCUGAACCAGCCAAGUAAGCGUGCAGGAUGACGGCCCUAUGGGUUGUAAACUGCUUUUAUAUAGGGAUAAAGUCGGGGACGUGUCCCCGUUUGUAGGUACUAUAUGAAUAAGGACCGGCUAAUUCCGUGCCAGCCGCGGC
RNAcentral lists this ribosomal RNA (512 nucleotides) under uncultured bacterium. Its description in RNAcentral is "bacterial SSU rRNA". It matches the Rfam family "Bacterial small subunit ribosomal RNA", at positions 15 to 518 of the family's 1533-position model. The record is from RNAcentral.